RNAcentral lists this non-coding RNA (26 nucleotides) under Mus musculus (house mouse). Lineage: Eukaryota; Metazoa; Chordata; Mammalia; Rodentia; Muridae. The record is from RNAcentral.
UGACCAUUGUCGUUGUCUUGUGGGCG